UGCAGGCCAACAGGACAGCAGGACAGACUCACCUUCAGGUGGAUGGGGAAGGGCCGCUCCUGCUGAAGAGGCCCAAGCAGAGUCUGCUCUACGCUGACCAGCUCCGAGGUAAUGAAAUGGCAUCAAGGAAGAGUUGGCACUACUUGCUCCUGAACCCAAACCUGGCACUGCCCAAAUGAGGAGCUUGACUGUUUUGUGUGGAAGGACUCAGGCAGCAAGGUCAAAGGAGAAUCCAAUGAUCCAGCCCAGCAGACGCAGGGGCACAGGGCAAACUAGAGGCUCAGGCAGAUGGAGAGCAUGUCCUGUGGAGUCAGUUCUGGAAGCUCUCUGAAUGGAAAAGCCCUGGCGCUGGUGCUGUCGGCACAGACGAGUGAGCAUUUAGAGAUAUGGAGUCCAUUAAGAUUUCAUUGACUCCAGGGUAGUUGACCCUGUGCAAUCCUCCCCGCCCUCCAACAAAGGUUCUUGGAAAUCUCAGUUUCCUUCCUCUCUGAAAAACAAUCUAA
Long non-coding RNA from Chionomys nivalis (European snow vole), 503 nucleotides. RefSeq lists it as uncharacterized. Lineage: Eukaryota; Metazoa; Chordata; Mammalia; Rodentia; Cricetidae. The transcript has 3 exons. The record is from RefSeq and is a predicted model, not a curated record.